UGACUCUGGUGUCCCUGCUGCUCCAGU
This 27-nucleotide non-coding RNA is filed under the name Mus musculus (house mouse). The record is from RNAcentral. Lineage: Eukaryota; Metazoa; Chordata; Mammalia; Rodentia; Muridae.